UGGGGAAUUUUGGACAAUGGGCGAAAGCCUGAUCCAGCAAUGCCGCGUGUGUGAAGAAGGCCUUCGGGUUGUAAAGCACUUUUGUCCGGAAAGAAAUCCUUGGCUCUAAUACAGUCGGGGGAUGACGGUACCGGAAGAGUAAGCACCGGCUAACUACGUGCCAGCAGCCGCGGUAAUACGUAGGGUGCAAGCGUUAAUCGGAAUUACUGGGCGUAAAGCGUGCGCAGGCGGUUUGCUAAGACCGAUGUGAAAUCCCCGGGCUCAACCUGGGAACUGCAUUGGUGACUGGCAGGCUAGAGUAUGGCAGAGGGGGGUAGAAUUCCACGUGUAGCAGUGAAAUGCGUAGAGAUGUGGAGGAAUACCGAUGGCGAAGGCAGCCCCCUGGGCCAAUACUGACGCUCAUGCACGAAAGCGUGGGGAGCAAACAGGAUUAGAUACCCUGGUAGUCCACGCCCUAAACGAUGUCAACUAGUUGUUGGGGAUUCAUUUCCUUAGUAACGUAGCUAACGCGUGAAGUUGACCGCCUGGGGAGUACGGUCGCAAGAUUAAAAGCUC
Molecule: ribosomal RNA, 555 nt
Filed under: uncultured bacterium
Lineage: Bacteria
Description: partial 16S ribosomal RNA
Rfam family: Bacterial small subunit ribosomal RNA
Source: RNAcentral